AACGUAGGAGACAAACGUUAUCCGGAGUUACUGGGCGUAAAGGGCGUGUAGGUGGUUUUGUAAGUCUGGCGUGAAAUUUUUCGGCUUAACCGGGAAAGGUCGUCGGAUACUGCAGGACUAGAGGACGGUAGAGGCGUGUGGAAUUCCGGGUGUAGUGGUGAAAUGCAUAGAGAUCCGGAGGAACACCAGUGGCGAAGGCGACACGCUGGGCCGUACCUGACACUGAUGCGCGACAGCAUGGGGAGCAAACAGG
Molecule: ribosomal RNA, 253 nt
Filed under: uncultured bacterium
Lineage: Bacteria
Description: partial 16S ribosomal RNA
Rfam family: Bacterial small subunit ribosomal RNA
Source: RNAcentral